AUGGCGGUGGUCAGCGCCGCGCACGGCGCGUUUGGGCCCCUGCUGGGGAAGCUCACGGCCUUGCUCGCCGAAGAGUGCGGCCGGCUGAAAGGGGUCCGCCGCGAGGUCCGGUCCCUCAGAUCUGAGCUCGCCAGCAUGCAUGCCGCGCUCAAGGAGUACACCAAGCUGGAGGACCCAAAUGACAAAGUCAAGGCGUGGAUUUCGUUGGCCAGGGAGCUGGCCUACGACACCGAGGACGUCUUCGACAAGCUCAUCCACCACCUCGGCGACGGCCGAGACCAUGGCGGCUUCAAGGACUUCUUCCGCAAGACCGUUCGCCGUCUCAAGACGCUUGGAGCUAGGCGCGGAAUCGCCGGCGAAAUCGACGACCUCAAGGGUCGCAUCAAGCAGGUGAAAGAGCUAAAGGAUUGUUACAAGCUGAGUGAUGCUCCUGAUAGCACCACUGGCCCUACCGCCGUGGAUCCCCGGCUUCAUGCAUUUUUUGCUGACGAGGCACACCUUGUGGGUGUGGACAGUCCAAGAGACGAUCUUGCGAAGUGGAUGUUGGAAGAAGAAAAUAACUCCUCCAAACACUGCAAGGUGUUGUCGAUUGUUGGGUUUGGUGUAUUGGGAAAGACAACACUGGCAAAUGAGGUCUAUCGCAAGAUUCAAGGAAAGUUUGAUUGUCAUGCUUUUGUAUCAGUCUCGCAAAAACUAGAUAUAAAGAAAAUUAUCAAGGACCUGAUCUCUCAAGUGUCAUGCGAAGAUGAAUCUACAAAAGAUAGAAGCGAUCGGGAUGAAAGGAAAUGUAUUGCAAAGCUAAGAGAACUGCUACAAGAUAAAAGGUAUCUUAUCAUUAUAGAUGAUGUAUGGUCUAUAGAAGCAUGGAACGCUAUCAAGUGUGCUUUUCCAGAGAAUAGUUGUUCUAGCAGAAUAAUAGCUACGACACGCAUUGUUGAUGUAGCAAAGUCAUGUUGUCCGAGUGUAGUCGACCGCGUGUAUGGAACGAAAGCCCUAAGUGAUCUUCACUCCAGGAAAUUAUUUUUGACCAGAAUAUUUGGCUCCGGUAACCAAUGUCCUGAUAUGCUGAAGAAAGUUUCAGAUGCGAUCCUAAACAAGUGUGGAGGCCUACCAUUGGCAAUUGUCACUAUAUCUAGUUUGUUGGCGAACAGAUUAGCAACCAAGGAGGAGUGGGAGAAGGUUAAAAGGGCAAUUGGUUCUACACUGGAAAGAAAACAGAGUCUAGAGGGAAUGAGUAGAAUACUAUCCCUUAGCUAUAAUGAUCUCCCACUUCAUCUCAAGACAUGUUUGUUGUAUUUCAGUACAUUCCCCGAGGACUAUGUGAUUGAUAGAAAGAGGUUGGUGAGGCAUUGGAUAGCAGAGGGCUUUAUGUCGGAAGAGUGUGGGCUUAGCAAGCAAGAGGUUGCUGAGAACUACUUUUAUGAGCUUAUCAACAAAAGCAUGGUCCAUCCCGUGGACAUUGAGUAUGACGGCAAGGUUCCUGCCUGCCGAGUCCAUGACAUGAUGCUUGAAAUUAUUAUUUCAAAAUCAGUUGAAGAUAAUUUUGUCACUUUGGUAGGCGGAGGCCAAAAAAAUUUGACAAACCAUCAAGAUUUUAUUCGGCAACUAUCUGUCCAGCACAUUGACCAGGAGUUGGCAUCUGCAUUGGAAAAAGAAGAUCUAAGCCAUGUUCGGUCUCUAACAGUAACAUCAUCAGUUUUCAUGAAACAUUUUCCCAGUCUUACCAAAUUUGAAGCUUUACGUGUACUGGACUUUGAAGGCUGCAAGGGUUUGGAGCAGUAUGAUAUCUCCAAUGUGGACAGAUUAUUCCAACUAAAAUACCUGAGCCUUAAGGACACGGGCAUAUCAAAGCUACCAUCAAGCAUUGUGAUGCUACAUGAUCUGGAGAUCCUUGAUCUUAGGACGCCAUCCAUGCAAGAGCUGCCGACUGGAAUUAUUCUGCUCACUAAGCUGCAAUAUCUACUCACUAAAGCCUAUUGUAAGGUGCCUAAUGGGAUCGGGAAUAUGAGGAGCUUACGGGAAGCCCCAAGAUUUGAUAUUACCAGGAGUUCAUUGGAUACAAUUGAGGAGCUUGGGAACUUGAGCAGAUUAAAUAAACUCGGUUUAUGCUUGGACGAUGGAGAUGGGUACAAGAGGCAUGAGAAGGUUCUACUCUCCUUGCUAUGCAAGCUUAGCAGCUGCAAACUGCAGUCUUUAUGUAUAAAAAAUAGGAGUUACGGUUCCCUCGACUUCAUCGACUCGUGGUCCCCUUUGCCAUCCUCCCUUCAGAAAUUAUGCAUUUAUGGUAAAAUGCAUUUAGCGAACGUACCAAAGUGGAUUUCUCCAGGACUCACAAGCCUAGCUCACGUGAACAUCGGAUUAGAUGAAUUAAGGGAGGAGGAUCUGCACACUCUUGAUGAGCUCCCAUCGUUACUUUAUCUACACCUGUACUUGGCUACAGGACCAAAGAAAAAGCUUACGGUAACUGGAUUCCCAUGUCCGAGGAGGUUUGGCCUCCUUAGUCUGGAUGGGGCAUAUAUCACGGUCCAGAAAGGGGCUAUGCCGAAGCUUGAGAAGCUUGAGCAGCCAUUUGAUGUGUCAGUGGCGAAAGCUUAUGGCUUCUAUUUAGGCAUUGAGCAUCUCCCAUGUCUCAAAGUAAUCAAAGUAAUGCCUCGUCACAAAGGUGCCACAUUUUCAGAAAGCAAGGCUGCAGCUGCUUCGAUCAGGAACGAAGCUGGUGUGCAUCCCAACCAUCCUGAAAAUAUUAUUUUGGGGGUUCAGGCGUUUCUGCAUGAUGAGGACAAUGUAGAGACCGGUAAUGUUGAGGGAAAGAGCAAGGAGGAAGGGAACUAUUAA
Molecule: ribosomal RNA, 2835 nt
Filed under: Triticum aestivum (bread wheat)
Lineage: Eukaryota; Viridiplantae; Streptophyta; Magnoliopsida; Poales; Poaceae
Description: partial small subunit ribosomal RNA
Source: RNAcentral